GGGAAGGUGCCUCAGUGGUAGAGUGCUUGCCUUGCAUGCAUGAGGCCCUGGGUUCGAUUCCUCAGCACCCCA
Molecule: non-coding RNA, 72 nt
Organism: Dipodomys ordii (Ord's kangaroo rat)
Lineage: Eukaryota; Metazoa; Chordata; Mammalia; Rodentia; Heteromyidae
Source: Rfam